RNAcentral lists this ribosomal RNA (479 nucleotides) under uncultured bacterium. RNAcentral describes it as "partial 16S ribosomal RNA". It matches the Rfam family "Bacterial small subunit ribosomal RNA", at positions 29 to 523 of the family's 1533-position model. The record is from RNAcentral.
AGCAAACGCUGGCGGCGUGCCUAAUACAUGCAAGUCGAACGGGGAAAGUAGCAAUAUGAGUACUAGUGGCGCACGGGUGAGGAGCGCGUGGGUAAUCUGCCUUCGAGCGGGGGAUAACUAGUCGAAGGAUUAGCUAAUACCGCAUAAGACCACAAGAUCUGCGGAUCUAGGGGUCAAAGCAGCAAUGCACUUGAAGAUGAGCCCGCGUAAGAUUAGCUAGUUGGUGAGGUAACGGCUCACCAAGGCGAUGAUCUUUAGCUGGUCUGAGAGGAUGAUAAGCCACACUUGAACUGAGACACGGUCCAGACUCCUACGGGAGGCAGCAGUAGGGAAUAUUGCGCAAUGGGGGCAACCCUGACGCAGCGACGCCGCGUGAGUGAUGAAGGCCUUCGGGUCGUAAAGCUCUGUUAUAUGGGAAUAAGUUCUGAAUGUACCAUGUGAGAAAGGAUCGGCUAACUUCGUGCCAGCCGCCGCCGUAA